Molecule: ribosomal RNA, 119 nt
Filed under: Harpegnathos saltator (Jerdon's jumping ant)
Lineage: Eukaryota; Metazoa; Arthropoda; Insecta; Hymenoptera; Formicidae
Source: RNAcentral
AUCAAUGGUCAUAUCACGUUGAAAAGACCAAUUCUCGUCCGAUCACUGGAGUUGAGCAACGUUGUGCACGAUUAGUACUUGGGGUGGUGACCCACCCGGGAACAUGUGUAUAGUUGGUG